This 65-nucleotide transfer RNA is filed under the name Portunus sanguinolentus (three spot swimming crab). RNAcentral's name for it is "tRNA-Arg". The record is from RNAcentral. Lineage: Eukaryota; Metazoa; Arthropoda; Malacostraca; Decapoda; Portunidae.
UAUUAGAAAGCGAAGUUAUCGCAUUUAGUUUCGACCUAAACCUUGACUCCCUAAGUCUCUAAUAA